CUCAGUUGGUAGAGCGGAGGACUGUA
This 26-nucleotide non-coding RNA is filed under the name Bos taurus (domestic cattle). RNAcentral also lists the same sequence under 2 other names. Lineage: Eukaryota; Metazoa; Chordata; Mammalia; Artiodactyla; Bovidae. The record is from RNAcentral.